Molecule: transfer RNA, 72 nt
Filed under: Ictidomys tridecemlineatus (thirteen-lined ground squirrel)
Lineage: Eukaryota; Metazoa; Chordata; Mammalia; Rodentia; Sciuridae
Description: Spermophilus tridecemlineatus (thirteen-lined ground squirrel) tRNA
Rfam family: tRNA
About the family: Transfer RNA (tRNA) molecules are approximately 80 nucleotides in length. Their secondary structure includes four short double-helical elements and three loops (D, anti-codon, and T loops).
Source: Rfam by way of RNAcentral
AGGGUUGUGGCUCAGAGGUAGAGCACUUGCCUGGUGUGCAUGAGGCACUGGGUUCAAUCCUCAGCACCACAU